Molecule: ribosomal RNA, 301 nt
Filed under: uncultured bacterium
Lineage: Bacteria
Description: partial 16S ribosomal RNA
Rfam family: Bacterial small subunit ribosomal RNA
Source: RNAcentral
CAGUAGCCGCGGGAAUACGAACCGUGCGAACGUUAUUCGGAAUCACUGGGCUUAAAGCGCGUGUAGGCGGGCCGCCACGUCGGCUGCUGAAAUCCCCCGGCUCAACCGGGGAAGUGGCACCGAUACGAGCGGCCUGGAGGGGGGUAGGGGGGACUGGAACUUCCGGUGGAGCGGUGAAAUGCGUUGAGAUCGGAAGGAACGCCCGUGGCGAAAGCGAGUCCCUGGACCCUUACUGACGCUGAGACGCGAAAGCCAGGGGAGCGAACGGGAUUAGAUACCCCGGUAGUCCCUGUCUCUUAUA